This 1493-nucleotide long non-coding RNA is filed under the name Mytilus galloprovincialis (Mediterranean mussel). The record is from RNAcentral. Lineage: Eukaryota; Metazoa; Mollusca; Bivalvia; Mytilida; Mytilidae.
UGCCGAUAUCUCUCAAGACUUUUCCUAGAGAAAAGAAAUGGCAAUGCCGUAAAAAUCGCUUGCUAGGUCCGUAAAUCUCAGUGAAAUCCUACAAUAAAAAUGUCCGCUCCUGGAUUGAAAAACUUAUCUGUUACAAACUGGUGCUGAUAAAUGUACAUUUUAAGAAAAUAAUCCUUAAACGUGUUUUAAAGUUACACCGGAUCAAUUAAAUCCAAAUCAUGCACUGCUGGUGAACUGUGAUCAAAAUGUCAAUUUCCUACAAUGACAAAAGAAAUUACAUUGUGUACAUUCCAUCUCUAUAGAUGUUGUCUGUUUAACGUCUCCACCUAAAAAGAAAUAAAAAGACUAAGUUUUUGUUAAUAUAAACCCGCGUCACGUGGUGUCUCCUCAAUCUGGCGUGCGCGCGCUGGACCUAAAAUAAAAGAAAAACUUUCCAAACUAAACAUGAAACUUCUCCGGUAACACAAUACUAUAGACCCCUUACAGAAACAAACAAACAAACAAACAAACACACCCCCCCCCCAAUCAAUCUAUGUUUCAAAGGGGGAAAGACCGGUUACAAUUCUUUUUAAAAGCAAUUGAUUUAUAUUUAUUUAUUUUUUUUUUUUUUUUUUCUCCGCCUAAUUUUUUUUCCUUCGCUGUUUUUUUGUUUCGCAAGAUGUCGCUUAGAAAUUUGGAAUAUGAUAUCGAACAGUUUAUACGCUUUUGAAACCAACUCUGCUUAACCGAAUACUUUACCAUAUAAGAGUUAUCUCCCCGAACACUGUUUUUCUUGUUAUCUCUAAGACUUCGCAACCGUAUAAGAAACCGACAAAUUUAUUUUUCCAAAUUGCUCGUUAUAUCCUCAGGAUGUGCUGUUUUAUUUUGACCGAAGCCGUAUCGAGAUUCCAUAUGAGAGUUAUUUCCCCUUUUGUAUUUGAAAUUUUGAAAUGUAUUUAAAACUGGAAAACCAUAAGUGAUAGAGACCUAGGGUCUUUUGAUUUGAGAUCCUUGGUCCAAAAAAAAUGAAAAUUAGGUCAACGUCAAAGGUCAAGGUCAUAUUCUAAAUUUUGAUUUUGGCUUAUUUUCACUCAUUUUCAUAAACCUUAUAAGAUAUCGACAAAUUAUUUUUACUAAAUUGUUAGUUGCGACAUGUCGUAACAUAAUAAUUUUGGUUGAAAGGGUGCGUAGACAAUAACUGGGAGUUUUAGCCCCUAUCAUAUCUAAAAUUAUGCGUAAAGUGAUAUAACUUAUUAACCAUACAUAUUAGAGACCUAGGGUCUUUUGAUUUGAGAUCCUCAGUUUGUGACCUUGAAAUUGAGGUCAAGGUCAUAGGUAAAUUUGACAUUCUAGAUUAUGACCUUUGCUUAAAAUUCAUAUCUUUACAUCAUACAGCCAUAGGAACUGACAUUUUAGACUGAUUUUUAAUAUUCUAAUAUCAAAAUAGAUAUUUACUGGUGGAAAGACCUUCAAUUGUUCUCUGAACAAUUGGUUUUUAAUUAUUAUUUUUUUUU